RNAcentral lists this ribosomal RNA (550 nucleotides) under uncultured bacterium. Its description in RNAcentral is "bacterial SSU rRNA". It matches the Rfam family "Bacterial small subunit ribosomal RNA", at positions 355 to 896 of the family's 1533-position model. The record is from RNAcentral.
UAGGGAAUCUUCCGCAAUGGGCGAAAGCCUGACGGAGCAACGCCGCGUGAGUGAAGAAGGUCUUCGGAUCGUAAAACUCUGUUAUUAGGGAAGAACAAAUGUGUAAGUAACUAUGCACGUCUUGACGGUACCUAAUCAGAAAGCCACGGCUAACUACGUGCCAGCAGCCGCGGUAAUACGUAGGUGGCAAGCGUUAUCCGGAAUUAUUGGGCGUAAAGCGCGCGUAGGCGGUUUUUUAAGUCUGAUGUGAAAGCCCACGGCUCAACCGUGGAGGGUCAUUGGAAACUGGAAAGCUUGAGUGCAGAAGAGGAAAGUGGAAUUCCAUGUGUAGCGGUGAAAUGCGCAGAGAUAUGGAGGAACACCAGUGGCGAAGGCGACUUUCUGGUCUGUAACUGACGCUGAUGUGCGAAAGCGUGGGGAUCAAACAGGAUUAGAUACCCUGGUAGUCCACGCCGUAAACGAUGAGUGCUAAGUGUUAGGGGGUUUCCGCCCCUUAGUGCUGCAGCUAACGCAUUAAGCACUCCGCCUGGGGAGUACGACCGCAAGGUUG